UAAAGUUGAUGGAUGUGAAAACACUAUAUAAGCAUAACUUACCAUUUUAAUCUUUCUUUGUGACCUUGAGGAGCUGGAAGGGCCGUGGCCAUCAUCAAUAUCAAAGCUUUUCGAGCACUUCACUUGGGCCGUGCACCAUGCCAUGCUUUCACCCAUGAUCUCAUUUAGUUAUUACAAGUCAGGUGAAGUAGGUAUUAAUAUUAACCCCAUUUUGCAGAUGCAGAAACUGAGGUGCAGAGAAGUUACUGACCUUGUCCCAGGACCCACAGCUAGAAAGUGAUGGACUCAGGAUCCCAACUCAGAUCUGUCAGACCUCAAAGCCUCUGAUUUGAAACUACUAUGAAAGGUUGCAAAACUCCUAGUAGCAACCCAGCAGAAUAGAAAGAUGGGGAGGGAUCAUCUUUUCCAUUUGGAGGAAGAACAGAGAGCUUAAGAGUCCCACAGACCUGGUGGUCGUUGUGCUGUACCUCCAGGUGCUGUGUGACUUUGGACCAGGCAUCUUGCUCCUCUGUGCCUCCACAUGCCUGCGGAAUUUCUAACAGGUUGCUCUAAGAAAUAGGAAGGAAAAUGUUGCCUGGGGCAUGGCAGAUGUGCCAGGAGCCAUGCUUCCCACACAGCCAUGGAUCUGCGUCCCACUUGGCUGCUGAGACCAACUCCUCGUGACCUUGUAUUUAUUUAGACCUUUGUUCUCCUCAGGGCCAGGAAUUGGUGGUGCCUGAUCCGAGUCUGUGGCCACCUAUGACUUCCUGAGUGGGGCCGUGGAGAUGGGGUAACCGAGACCCGCUGUGCAAAAGUGACUUUUACCUAAGAUACUCUGGACAGGGCAGAGCUAAUAUGCAUGG
Molecule: long non-coding RNA, 842 nt
Organism: Physeter macrocephalus (sperm whale)
Lineage: Eukaryota; Metazoa; Chordata; Mammalia; Artiodactyla; Physeteridae
Exons: 3
Source: RefSeq, a predicted model, not a curated record